AUAAUUUAAUUUGUGACGAGUUAUGGUUAGUGUUGAUUUUAAAAUCAAAUUUUAAUUUUCUGACACCUCCGUAAGGUCCGGUCCACCUCAAUUCCUCCCCAAGAAAAACACCGCCUCACGUGUGAAACUCACCCUUGACAUCAAAGUCACUUGCCGUGACUUCCACAAAGACUCCUCCACCCUCCGCCUCCACGGUCGCAACCUCCAACCCAACUAGCACGUCCCUGCCGGCUCCUUCCACACCCUCACCCUCACCCUCGAACCCCUCAAAGACUCCUCCAUCCCCCGACUCCACCGGCCUCCACCACGAUCCACACCAGAUCGUAUGGCACCAGCAUCAGUGUGUGCAUCACACCGGUCAAAUGCAGCGUCUGGAACGUGCGAACGUGCGUCGGCAUCACCGUGAUCGCCGUCCUAGGGUUUUUCACUCCGAAUAGCGCCCCUACUCUUUCUGCACUCUCUCGAUAUGCGGUGCGCCUUCAUCACCUCCCCGAGAUCCGAAUGCGGCCACGGCCGGAUUCGGAUACCGUGCCGCCCGACUACCACGAGUCUUGCGGUGCUCGCCAUCGCCGUCCGGUUCUUUGUUGGAGGAACGUCAUGCAGAGCUACGAUUUCUAAACCUCCGGAACGACGCGAUGUAGAGGCUUGUUGAGAAAAGGAAGAAGACGAGGCGCGAGAAGUGGAAGUCGAGAACCAAGCUAAUGAGACAGCAGACGCUGGAUUACCAGCCAGAAAAUCGCCGCCAGCAACUUCACUGCGUCGUCGCCGGACGAAUCCAACUACGCCAAUCCUCUAAAGUUGUUCGCCCAGCGCGAGAGAAUUGUAUGUAGUUCGUAGCAGAAUAGAUAGAGGUUUAAAUUUGAAGAGAAAGGUUGGAGAUGGUGCUGACUUUAGGUUUGAGGAUCACGAAUGCGUUGAACCAGAACCCCUUCAACAAUCGUAGGUAAUAUGAUGCAAUCUCAUGUGCGUCCCACACGAGUUUCCCGCAACAGGCCGCCAGCGUGAACUGCAGCCACACGUGCAAGAGGUGCACCGCAUCCCACACGAGUUUCCCGCAACAGGCCACCAGCCUGAACUGCAGCCACACGUGCCAGAGGUGCACCGCAUCCAGCACGACAGCGAGUAGAAGAUGAAGGCGGAAGGGAUAAGAAAAGAAGGUGUAUGAAGGACGGAAGAAAGUCCUGAAUGAUUGAUUUAUUUAUUUUUCAUUUUAAUUGAUUUUAGUGAUUUUUAAUUUUAAGAAAAUUUAAAUUU
Molecule: long non-coding RNA, 1254 nt
Organism: Glycine soja
Lineage: Eukaryota; Viridiplantae; Streptophyta; Magnoliopsida; Fabales; Fabaceae
Exons: 2
Source: RefSeq, a predicted model, not a curated record